UGGGGCGAUUUUUGGGAAUUCUGGGAUUAUUUUGGGGUGAAUUUCAGGAAUUUGGGGAUUUUUUGGGGCAUUUUGGGAUUAUUCAGAGGAAUUUUGGGGUUAUUUGGGGAGGUUUUGGGGCAUUUCAGGGCUAUUUUCGGAUAUUUUGGGGGAUAUUUUUGGGAAAUUUUGGGGUGAUUUUGGGAAAUAUUUUUGGGGUAUUUUAGGGAUAUUUUGGGAAAUAUUUUUGGGAUAUUUUGGGGAUAUUUUUGGAGUGAUUUCAGGGAUAUUUUGGGGAUAUUUUAAGGAUAUUUCAGGGAUAUUUUGGAGAAUAUUUGGGGAUAUUUUCGGGGUGAAUUGAGAUGAUUUUGGGUCUCUCACCGUGUAC
RNAcentral lists this long non-coding RNA (367 nucleotides) under Junco hyemalis (dark-eyed junco). RNAcentral describes it as "lncRNA (ENSJHYG00000010928.1)". Lineage: Eukaryota; Metazoa; Chordata; Aves; Passeriformes; Passerellidae. The record is from RNAcentral.